RNAcentral lists this ribosomal RNA (533 nucleotides) under uncultured bacterium. Its description in RNAcentral is "partial 16S ribosomal RNA". It matches the Rfam family "Bacterial small subunit ribosomal RNA", at positions 355 to 883 of the family's 1533-position model. The record is from RNAcentral.
UGGGGAAUUUUGGACAAUGGGCGAAAGCCUGAUCCAGCAAUGCCGCGUGUGUGAAGAAGGCCUUCGGGUUGUAAAGCACUUUUGUCCGGAAAGAAAUCCUUGGCUCUAAUACAGUCGGGGGAUGACGGUACCGGAAGAAUAAGCACCGGCUAACUACGUGCCAGCAGCCGCGGUAAUACGUAGGGUGCAAGCGUUAAUCGGAAUUACUGGGCGUAAAGCGUGCGCAGGCGGUUUGCUAAGACCGAUGUGAAAUCCCGGGCUCAACCUGGGAACUGCAUUGGUGACUGGCAGGCUAGAGUAUGGCAGAGGGGGGUAGAAUUCCACGUGUAGCAGUGAAAUGCGUAGAGAUGUGGAGGAAUACCGAUGGCGAAGGCAGCCCCCUGGGCCAAUACUGACGCUCAUGCACGAAAGCGUGGGGAGCAAACAGGAUUAGAUACCCUGGUAGUCCACGCCCUAAACGAUGUCAACUAGUUGUUGGGGAUUCAUUCCUUAGUAACGCAGCUAACGCGUGAAGUUGACCGCCUGGGGAGUAC